UUAUUUUUUGCUUCUAUUCUUCCAUGCUGUCCUUCACUUCUGUGUAUUUGCAUUUCCAGUCUAUUGUUUUCUCUUUUUUGUUUCUUUGGUUUUGUUUUUAAAUCACUCACGAACAAUGUUUUCCGUGUUCUAGUCAAAUUCUACCACCUUGUUGUUCUAUUAAAUAUAACAUGACAUUUACUGGAGAUAAAAGUAAACAUCUUGUACAUGAACAUGCACAAAAAAAGAAACAAAUAAAUAACAACCAAAGCCUUCCCCCAAGUCAUAACUCUAAGAUGGAGGAAGUAUAAUUAGGUAGUUGUUCUGAAGAAGACCUUGGAGUUUUUAAUGGAUUUCAAAUUCCAUAUGUGUUUGUAAUGCAGUAGCCCAAAGAGUUAGCACUUCACCUUCAAAGAAGGAGGGACCCAAAUUCCAGGAAUAGGGAGAUGAUUUAAUCCCAUUAUAUUCUGCUCUAGUCAGGACACAUAUAGAGGGUUGUGUCUAUAUUUCUGGGGAUCCAUGGUUUAAGAAAGCUGAUGGUAGACUGGAGAGUGUCUAGAGGUAGGCAGGCAGGAUGGUGAAGGGUCUUAGGUACAUAUCACAUGAGUACUGGUUAAAGGAACUGAGUGGGCAUACUUAGCCAGGACAAGAGAAGAUUUGGGGGAUAUGAUAACUGGUUCAUAGUUAUUUGAAGGUUUAUCACAUAGACGAAGUAUUUGACUUGUUCUGUUUAGCUCCAGUGACCAUAAGAUGAAAGUUGUAAGAAGGCAAAUUUAGGCUCAGUAUCAAGGAAACCUUCUUAAUAAUUAAAACUUUCCUAACAUUGAAUGGGCUGCUUCAAGAGAAGGUGGGUUCCUGCUCCCUGGAGGGCUUUAAGUAAAGGCUAUUAGAUAUAGCAGCUGAGAUCUCUUUUCACUAUCAAAUUAUUUAUUCCCUUUUUUCAUAGCAAAGUCUUAGAGUUUUCCUCAUUGCUGUCUUUACUUCCUCAUCUCUGAAUCAAUACUUUUCUAAGGUCAUUAAUACUCUUUUUUUCCCCAAUUAUAUGUAAAAAUAAUUUUUUUGCAUUCAUUUUAGGGGAUGGAGACAAGAUGGCGAACUAGUAUCACAGAAAGCUGGAAUUGCUCUGAGAAUCCUCUCAAACCAACCUUCAAAUAGCACCUCAAAAUGAAUACUGGAGUCACAGAACCAACAAUGGGAAUGAGUGAAGUAUCUCUCCUGCAGAAAAUCACCUGAAAAGUAGGCAGAGAAGGUCUAUUUUAUAGUGUAAGAGGGGAACCGGGAAUAAAAUCAUGCACAGAAGAGUAUAAGCUGCCCAUCUCCCACCUACUGCUCCAGCUUCAAUUCCUGGGCACAAGCCAACUUUGAAAACCCAGGACUCUGCCUAAGCCAACAGCAGGGCAGCCCAUACCCACCUCUUGAAGUCCCAAGCCCUGGCACAAGCCUGCAGUGAGGCCCUAAGUGUGAUUGAUUGUGAGGAGACUGGAUCAGCAGUAAGAGGUGACUUCCGAAGUGCCCAGUUCACAGGCUAUUGUAUCACUUUCUAAGAGCUGAUAGUUGCAGAAACCAGAACUACCUCUAAGGGUGGCAGCAAGGAAAAACUGAAGUUUAAGACUGAUCACUUUAUCUUGAGAGCAGAGCCAACUUUUAGAUAAAAGAAAAAAAAAGAGGCUGGGAAAAUGACCAAACAGAAAAACAAACAAACAAACAAACAAAAAACACCUAGCUGUAGAAAAUUUCCAUAGAGAUGAAGCAGAGAUUCAGUAGGGGACAGUAAUAUCAAAGCAGUUACAAAUAAGACUUCAAAGUAAAAUGAGAAUUGGUCUCAGGCACUGAAGAGCUCAAAAAGGAAUUUAAAAAUAAAAUAAGAGAAGUGAAAUAAAAAUGGGGGAAAGAAAUGAAAGUAAUACAAGAGAGAAAAUAACUAUUUAAAAAAGCAGAAUUGGUUAAAUGGAAAAAGAAGCACAAAAAUCCAAAGAAGAAAAGAAUUCCAUAAAAAGUAAAAUUGACCAAAUGGAAAAGGAAGUUCAAAAGCUCAUGGAAGAAAAUCAUUCUUUAAAAAUUAGAAUUGGGCAAAGAGAAGUUAAUGACUUCAUGAGACACUAAGAAACAAUAAAAUCAAAUCAAAAGAAUGAAAAAAAUAGAAAAUAUGAAAUAUCUCAUUGAAAAAAGACAAAUGACCUGGAAACUAGAUCCAGGAGAGACAUUCUAAGAAUUCUUGAACUACCUGAAAGUCAUGAUCAAAAUAAAAGCCUAGAUUUAAUAUUAUAAGAAAUGAUAAAAGAAAACUGUCCUGAUAUUCAUGAACAAGAGUAUAAAAUAGACAUCAAAAGAAUCCACAAAUUACCUCCUGCAAUAAAUCCCCAAAUGACAACUCCUGGGAAUAUUAUAGUCAAAUUCAAGAACUCCCAGGCUAAGGAGAAAAUACUGCAAGCAACUAUAAGAAACACUUCAAAUAUUAUGGAGCCACAGUCAGGAUUACAGAGGAUGUAUCAACUUCUUCAUUUAAGAAUUGGAAGGCUUAGAAUAUGAUAUUUCAGAAGGCAAAGGAAACAGGUUUACAACCAAGAAUCACCUCGCCAUCAAAACUGACUAUAUCCUUUCAGGGAAAAAUGAUCAUUUAAUAAAAUCGAAGAUCAAGCAAUCCUGAUGAAAAGACCAGACUUAAACAGAAAAUUUGAUGUCCAAAUACAAGAUUCAAGAGAAGCAUUAAAAGGUUCUAUUUAAGGGUAUCGAGAAGCUGAAGAGGAGCCAUCAGAAGAUGACCGUGAUGGUGAAGGGCCUUGAGAUCCAACCAUAUGAGGAUAUUGGAAGGAAUGGGGGGGUGUUUGGCCUGAAGAAGAGGUGACAUGUUAAUUGUCUUCAAGUAUUUGGAUGACUGUCAGGUGGAAAAGAGAUUACCCUUGCCCUACUUGGUUCCAAGGGCUGAAAGAGGAACAAUGAAUGGAAGAUGAAAAGAGACAAAUCUAGACUUGAUGUUGGGAAAAACUUUCUAAUAAUUUGAGCUAUCUAAAAGUAGAAGGAGAUGGCUCAGGUCGAAGUGGGUUCUUGCUCCUGAGGGAUCUUCCAGCAAAGGCCGAAUGACUCCUUUUUGGGUAAGUCAUGAGGGGGAAUUCUUGUUCAGACUAGAUGACCCCUGAGAUCCCUUCCUACUCUGAGAUUGUGAGAACCUGUGACCAGCCUCAGGCCAUAUAAGUGAACAGAAGAGCCCAGAUGAGAACUCUGGCUAUCAAUCCAGUUCUAUUUACUGUCCCACCAAGUAUACUACUGGUUACUGA
Non-coding RNA from Monodelphis domestica (gray short-tailed opossum), 3254 nucleotides. NCBI's taxonomy places the organism in Eukaryota, Metazoa, Chordata, Mammalia, Didelphimorphia, Didelphidae. The record is from RefSeq and is a predicted model, not a curated record.